Molecule: ribosomal RNA, 274 nt
Filed under: uncultured bacterium
Lineage: Bacteria
Description: partial 16S ribosomal RNA
Rfam family: Bacterial small subunit ribosomal RNA
Source: RNAcentral
AGACGAAGGUGGCAACCGUUGUUCGGAAUCACUGGGCAUAAAGCGCACGUAGGCGGGAAAGCAAGUCGGGUGUGAAAUCCCUCGGCCCAACCGAGGAACUGCGCCCGAAACUGCUUUUCUUGAGGACAGAAGGGGAGCAUGGAAUUCCUAGUGGAGCGGUGAAAUGCGUUGAUAUCAGGAGGGACACCGGCGGCGAAGGCGAUGCUCUGGUCUGUUUCUGACGCUAAGGUGCGAAAGCCAGGGGAGCAAACGGGAUUAGAUACCCCAGUAGUCC